GAUGAACGCUAGCGGCAGGCUUAACACAUGCAAGUCGAGGGGUAUAGUUCUUCGGAACUAGAGACCGGCGCACGGGUGCGUAACGCGUAUGCAAUCUACCUUUUGCAGAGGGAUAGCCCCAGAGAAAUUUGGAUUAAUACCUCAUAGUAUAGCAGUUUCGCAUGAAACCACUAUUAAAGUUCCAACGGUGAAAGAUGAGCAUGCGUCCCAUUAGCUAGAUGGUAAGGUAACGGCUUACCAUGGCUACGAUGGGUAGGGGUCCUGAGAGGGAGAUCCCCCCACACUGGUACUGAGACACGGACCAGACUCCUACGGGAGGCAGCAGUGAGGAAUAUUGGUCAAUGGACGCAAGUCUGAACCAGCCAUGCCGCGUGCAGGAAGAAGCAUCUAUGGUGUGUAAACUGCUUUUGUACGGGAAGAAACACUCCUACGUGUAGGAGCUUGACGGUACCGUAGAAUAAGGAUCGGCUAACUCCGUGCCAGCAGCCG
RNAcentral lists this ribosomal RNA (489 nucleotides) under uncultured bacterium. RNAcentral describes it as "bacterial SSU rRNA". It matches the Rfam family "Bacterial small subunit ribosomal RNA", at positions 28 to 517 of the family's 1533-position model. The record is from RNAcentral.